CCUACGGGGAGCAGCAGUGGGGAAUAUUGGACAAUGGGCGAAAGCCUGAUCCAGCCAUGCCGCGUGUGUGAAGAAGGCCUUCGGGUUGUAAAGCACUUUCAGUGGGGAAGAAAGCCUUGGGGCUAAUACCCUCGAGGAAGGACAUCACCCACAGAAGAAGCACCGGCUAACUCCGUGCCAGCAGCCGCGGUAAUACGGAGGGUGCGAGCGUUAAUCGGAAUUACUGGGCGUAAAGCGCGCGUAGGCGGUCUGAUAAGCCGGUUGUGAAAGCCCCGGGCUCAACCUGGGAACGGCAUCCGGAACUGUCAGGCUAGAGUGCAGGAGAGGAAGGUAGAAUUCCCGGUGUAGCGGUGAAAUGCGUAGAGAUCGGGAGGAAUACCAGUGGCGAAGGCGGCCUUUUGGACUGACACUGACGCUGAGGUGCGAAAGCGUGGGUAGCAAACAGGAUUAGAUACCCGGGUAGUC
Molecule: ribosomal RNA, 465 nt
Filed under: Vreelandella stevensii
Lineage: Bacteria; Pseudomonadati; Pseudomonadota; Gammaproteobacteria; Oceanospirillales; Halomonadaceae
Description: partial 16S ribosomal RNA
Rfam family: Bacterial small subunit ribosomal RNA
Source: RNAcentral